This 210-nucleotide unclassified non-coding RNA is filed under the name Hevea brasiliensis (rubber tree). The record is from RNAcentral. Lineage: Eukaryota; Viridiplantae; Streptophyta; Magnoliopsida; Malpighiales; Euphorbiaceae.
GCGUACCAGAGCCAAUAAACAAUCCAAAGCGAAUGAAGAGAACUUAGGGAAGGAAAUUACAAUGGCUGCCGGGAAAGAAAGUCUGGCUGAUUUUUCCAGGGAGUCAGUGGACAAAAGACGUGUCAAUGGGCGUGGAUCAUCAGGGACAAAAGGAAAUGGCAAACAAGUGGUUGUGGAUGCAAGGAUUACAUGGAAUGAAUUGGAUGGGGG